This is a long non-coding RNA of Mytilus trossulus (common blue mussel), 981 nucleotides long. RefSeq lists it as uncharacterized. The transcript is spliced from 3 exons. The record is from RefSeq and is a predicted model, not a curated record. NCBI's taxonomy places the organism in Eukaryota, Metazoa, Mollusca, Bivalvia, Mytilida, Mytilidae.
GUUCGUUUCAUUCCCCUACAUUACUUGACCGUUUUUGUAAAACAACAGCACUCGAGGUCUGACAGUAUUUUACCAAGAAAUGCACAAAAUAUUCAAAAAGAACGCCUAGAAAAUUUAAAUAUUGGACAAGAACUAUAGAAGGUACAGAGAAAUAAUAUACAGCAGAAAUGAUAGGCAAUGUAAAAUUUGCAGAAGCCAACUAAACCUAAAUGGUGAUCAGACAUCUCGGUUUUCAUGAUCAAUAGGUCAUUACUGAAGAGGAAACUUAAAGUUGAAAUUUAUUUACAUAGUGCAUAAUUGGAUUAAUUUGAAAUGGAAUGUGUGCUUUCCUGCAAAAAAGAAAUAGGAAAUUUCAACAUGUGAUAAUGACCAUAUAAAACAAAAUGGAGUUCUAUCAUAGAUACCUGAAAACACUAUUGCAUAAAAGCAACAACAUAUCUUAAUCAAAAGAAAGGAGAAUGCAGAACAAAUACUAUUUUGUUGUUGAAAAAAGGAACACCAGUUUUAUCCACUCAUUUACAUCGCUCCCUCAUAUCAAAUAUACAGAAGAAGAUCAUUGAAGAACAAUUUGCAAAAAUGAUUUCUCUUAGAAUUGAAGGGAAUUGUUUAGUGAAGUGAAUAAUGUAUUCACUGAAUUCUUACAUAGUGGAUUGAAUAACUGUACACAAGCUGAAACAGAAGAAAUUCUAAUUUAAAAUAACACGAAAAGUGUUUAUUUUAUUAUUUAAUCUGCAAAUAUAUAAAUAUUUUUUUUAGAACACCACAAAUGAUAUAAUGACAUUCAAAUUGGUUGCUUAUUAUUGUAUCGCAUUGAAACAAUUACAAAGAAAACAGAAGCAUUUGCUCCAAAAAAAUUAUAAAUCAAAGUUAAAUUUAUAUAAAAAGUAUAAACAAUACCUAGAUCUAAACAGUCAGACUGUAUUAUUUUCAAUGUCAUUAAAAUUUUGAGUCAAACAUUUAUUAUUAAAUUUUUAAAUAUCA